UUCAUUAUGGUACUUUUAUUGGCUCAUAGGCAUUAUCAACACACAGGCAUGAUUUCAAGAGCAUGAACUUGAUUUCCUAAGACUCUAUCAGUGCUAUUUAGCUGGAAUUUUCAUGUUGCCCAGAACAUAUCACAUAGUUUAGAGCAAUACAGAACCAGAAACACAUCUUCUGGAAACAUGCACAUGAAAGCAUUGCAGACACAAAAUAAAAGUAGAUUUUUUUUUUUUUUUGCCUACCUACAUCCCAUUCUUCAGUAGGCCAAAUAGUUUUGCCAGCUAUUACAGGAUUUUAUGCUUAAUUAUUUACACACAGACUUCAGAAAAAAAUCAUACAGUAUAAGCACACAAGAAAGUAGCAUUGCCAGUAUUUGUGCAAUUGGAAAAACAUAUAUAUGAGUAGAGUUACCAAUUUCUGCAAUGUAGUUUUUUAUAUGCAGAAAGAAACAGAGGGAAUGUAAUACACAAUAAAAUCAAGGUGACUAUUGACAGAAAAAAACAAUCUUUAUUUUUUUUUGUUUUGCUUUUCAUGAAUCAAUUUGUGUCCUACUUAUCACUUUUUUUUUUCCUGAGGAAAGUAAUUUUUUUUUACAGGAAAGCACCCAGCCUCCUCCUACAAGCACUCUCAUUUGUUCUGGGCAAGAAAAACAUGGAUAGAAAAUUGACUUACCUAGGGAUAUAGAAAAACUGUAAAGCAGAGAGGAAGACCAGCCUUUCCCAGCUUAGCAAACACUGCCCAAGGAAAACAAAUAAUUCUCCUCUAUAAAGGCUACUGCCCCUUCACUCCUAUUUAAGGGCAGAUGCAGUGCUAUAUUUAGAACUAACCAAGUGAUUCUCCCAAAACUGGGGUCAGCCUAAUAUGUAAUAAGGGAGUGAUAUAGAGGAAAAAGAAAAGCCCUAGCCUAUAUGGAGUUUAAUACUGAAUUUUAAUAAAAGACAAACCUCAUUCCUUUAAAAAGCGAUUGCUUAUGUUAAAAAUUGGGUUUCUUUCCCUAGCAACACCAAGCACAUGGGAAGCAAUUGGAUGCCAGAAAAUAGUUUAAAUUUUAUUUAGAAAAGUUUGAAGUUUUAAAAUAAUCAGUAACUUGAAGACUAGUGAGGACAAAAAUGUUCGAGAAUAUUAUUAGUAGAAACAUGAGAUCCCUUGGUGCUUUGGGCUGUAAAAUGAGCCUCCCUAUUGCUUCCUUAAGAGCUCUCUGGAUGUGAGAAUGUCUGCAACAUAUGAAGGCAUAUCAGUUGUAAAAAACCCCUAUUAUUCCCAUAUCUAUUACAUCACAAGUCAAUCUGAGCGAGAUUUUUCUAUGUCUUGUAGGUAAAGUAGGAAGAAUUUAAUAUGCAUAGAGGCAUAAGCAUGCAGAGUUAAAAAUACAGCCAAAGCAGUCAGCUCUAUGAGACCUUGGUGGUCCCUGAUGGUUCCCGAUUUUACCAACUAAAAUGGAUGCUUUCUGCCUGUAGGGCUCCAAGGUUUCUGUCCAGAAGCUACAAGGCACCACUGUGGUGGCUCUGACAUGUCCAGAUGGGAGGAGGUAGCAGCACUGGCUCUGCAGAGCGGGUAGACUUGGGAUCAGCCACUCUGCCCCAUUCUGGUGGUAGUCAGGCCCACAGGGAUUGCAUCCAUAUGGGGGAUGGAAGGGUGGGACCUCUCACAAGGCUUUGUGAAAAGCAUGAAUAAUUAAUCACCUUCCUCUUAUUCUGUCUGGAAACAGGACAACAUGUCUGAGAACACCUGGCUAUAUGGCAGACCUAAUCACACCUCAUGACAGCCCACAAUGACUCAAAUAAUCAGUGAGUCAGCAACAUACAAACCGUAGAGAAUUAAUUGAUCUUAAAAUUGUUUGAAAAUAACAAGAUCUACUUUCAAUUUACUUAUACAGAAAUCUGGUCAUUGUCAAAGUCACUAAAUGACAAUCUCUUCCACUGCUUGGUAUGUGACACUUGGAUACAUGAACAAUAUUCUUUUUAAGUCAUACAUUCUUCUUAUGUAUACAUAUAGGGAAGCAGAGCAAGAGGUAGAAAAGCCUUUAAAUCACUGAUUCUUAUCCCAUCUGCAGUGUUCAUCUAAAUUUCCUAAAUAGCUCUGGUAAGGAUCUUUCUUACUUUUUUAUCAUCUAGAGCUACUAUUUGCUUGAAACAGACUUCUCCCUUUCUCCCAUUGAUCUUGAAUUAUAAUUCAGUCUGACAGAAUUAGAUCUACAGAGACAGACAGAGUGGAAUGACUGCAUAUGCCCUGAAUGUAGAUGUUGCUUCAGAAGCAGCUGUCAAAGUAAUUAGCAUGUAAUAAUCCAGAGCAAACCCACUUUACUUACGCAGCUCCAUCUCUUCUCUCCUAUUGAAUUUUCCUGUGGGAGGUAAAAGGUCAUUUUUCAGGAAAAUAUUAAAGUUCUCACUACGCUCUGCUUUUCAUUUCUCAUUCUAUAUUUAUUAUCUUUACAGAAAUGGAGGCAUUUACAGCCUACUCUGUCUGCCUUUACACUUGAGCACUCUUCUAUUUUAAGUUUUCUUCAGGGUGUGGCUGGAUGACAAAAAUAUGGAAGUACAUCCUAAGGACUGUGGGAAAAAUGCCAAAUGCAAGAACAAGCUAUGUAGGAGGGUCAGUCCCAGGCUGUGUCCAGGAAAGACAAUAAAUAAAUUCUUCUCUUCAUGCACAUUACAAAAUAAAAUAGAAGGGAAAACUGCAAUAUUGUGUUACUCACUGGUGGUGAACUUUAGGCAGCAGAGCACAAAAAAUUAUUCAGCAUUUUAACUAUGAAAUAAUUUACAUUAUAUAUUCCUACUUCCCCCCUAAUACAGAAGGUGCCUUCUCCUGAUCCUUCCACUUCCCAAACAGAUCUUCCCUAAGAACUUUUCUAAAGCAGAGAUUUAACAGGGUAUCAAAAGGAUUACUCAAGCAUUGUAAACUUAGCAUGUGCUAAAAUCCUUCUGUGAAUUUGGUAUUUUAGAAUUAUUUCUUUAUCUUCUGACAGUCUCUUGAUGUAGGUUGCUUAACUGAUACAGGCCUACGUAAUGUCUCAACUACUCCAGCAAAGGGAAGGACAAAGAACUGAAAUGGAGCUCAGGAAAAAGAGGUGUUAUCAUUUUAGCCAUUGGAUUAAACAUCAAAACAGUAAUGAAAUGAAAUGUAACAGUGUUAAAAGAGGUAUGUUUUCAGCCUAUAAGGGUGUCUUAAUAGUGGCCUUGUGCUUUUAUCUUUCUCCGGUUCCAGGAAAGCCUAAUGCAUCUUUGUAUGACAGCUUCUGAAGCCCAGCUUUGUUAAUAUGUUAGCUACUGAUUUCUUCAAAUGCUUGUUGCAUAUUCAUAGCUUCAUAUAAAUUAAAAGCUUAGUAACUAGCAAUGAGGUUCCUCAUCUCUGCAGCAGAUCUAUUAUUCACUCAGCCCUAUGGUGAGGUUUCUAAAGCCAUGCUAGAACAAUGGAUACUGUGCGCUGGUGAUCUUAGAGCAGUCUCUCUUCACAGUUACCCAAGUCCCAGCAUCUCCCUUGGUAUUACAAAUGAAAGACAAAACAGUGCAUGCAAAUUCAAGCCCAUAAAAAUUAAAUCAUGUUCUUUCCUCUGUUGGUGCCUUUGGUCAGAAAGUCAGGAUUAUCAGUUAUGGCCUCCACAUAUGAACCCAAUCAAAUGUGUCUCAUUCAGAGAAGAAUACCACCGCCUGAAAGACUGAACUCUGAACAGUUUUGGAGGAACUGUACUUGCUCAUGAAGAUGGGGUAGCAAGAGAGCAGUAACAGAUGCACUUACUGCUGAUAGCACUGUAAAUGUGCAGUAAAGCACAAAUUCCCAAGGGAAAUACACCUUACUGCUUCCUUCAAGUGGGGAGAGAACAAACCCAUGCUGACUUCUAAGAAGCCUAAGCACUUAUCUCUCUACCGCCUCUUUUCUUUUCUGCUUUUUUUUUUGUUUUGUUUUUCUUGGUGCAUUUUCUCUUAUUCUACUAGAACUUCCUGAUUUUCAAUGCCCAACUUGCAAGUAUUUUAAGGCUGGCUUCAUGCAGCUGAAAAUUGUCAAAAUCUUAAACUACCCUUCCCAGACUAUGCUGUGUGGAGAUGAGACCAGAGAAGAGUCAAGUAAUUUGGAGGAGGAGGAAAAUACACUUCCAACUAAGAGAAGGGUGUACAACUCCCAGGAGAGAGGACAAUGGUAGCUGAAGGAAAACAAAACAACAACAAAACCCCUGCAUUAGAUGCAAGAUGUUUUAAACAGCCAGAAAAGGAUUUUCAAUCAGCAAUUAAUCUGAGCUAAACUGAACUGAACCCAGAACAUCAAACAAUUUUAGCAUAAGUCUUUGAACAAACACUAAAAUACCUGAGCAUACAAAGUGUUGGGAAUUUUUCCCUGCAACAUAAGGCAAAAUGGAUCUCUUAGUAAGUAUCUCAUUUAUAUCUAAGACAAACAGAGCAUAGAGCUACAAUUCACUGAGUUACAGCAAAUCAAUUAUUUUUUAAGAUACCUAAACAGUAAUGUGUCCCCCUGCUGUCCAAGAAGCCACUUUAAAGCCCAUCAGAGUCAGUGCUAAGGUUUUACUGACUCAGGAAAGCUGAGAUUCCUGUCCUUUUUGAUUUAAUACCAGCUCAGUGGCAUCUCUUCAUUUACCUUUACAAUGACACCUGUACAAAGACAAGGACUAUAAAGAUGUCUAUCUUAUCCUGGUAUAUUUAUUCCAGUUUCACACAACAGGCUUGGCAGGUACCUGCUGCUGCAACAGUUACCUUUAUCAACUAACCCCAGUAUCAUCAGCAGCACAUUAAAUCUAGAGAACCACAGGCUGUUAGAAGGCAGAGACAGGGACUAACACUGCAGUGCAGGGUUUUGCCACACUUGGAAAUGAAGGCAAGGCAGCUGCCCUUCAAAUUCCACCAUUAAGCAGCACCAUUCAAAGAUGGUUUUAAUGUCCUCAAGCUUCAGGAGCUGCCAGCUGUGGGGUUACUUCUCGUAACAGCAUUUACAUACAGGAUUCAUAUCAGACAAGCACAGACAACUGAGGCACAGAAUCAGAGAAUGUUUGAGGUUGGAAGGGACCUCUGAAGGUAAUCUUGUCCAGCACAGUUCUCCAACAAGGCUAGUUGGAGCUGGUUGUCCAGGACCACAUCCAGAUUUUGAACAUUUCCAUAGAUGAAGACUUGUGGUGGUUUUGGCUGUGGUAGAAUUAUUUUUCUUCCCAGUGGCUGAUAUAGAGCUGUGAUUUGGUUUUUUUCUGAACAUAGGGUUGAUAAUAAAUGCUUCUGUUAUUGCUGAGCAGGGCUUGCACAGAGACAAGGCCUUUUCUGCUUUUCACGCUGUCAUGCUGGUGAGGGAGCUGGGGGUGCAUGAGAGGCUGGGAGGAGACACAGCCAGGACAGGGGACCCAAAUUGACCAGAGGGAUAUUCCAGACUGUAUGACAUCAUGCUCAGUAUAUAAAAUGGAGGGAAGAAGGGAGAAGGAGGGGACAUUUGGAGUGAUGAUUCUUGUCUUACCAAGUAACUACUGCGUGUGAUGGGGGGUCUCAGAUUCAGUCAAAGAGAGAAACUGAGAGUUUCUAGCUAGGCAGAAGCCUGGGAAAGAGCUGGAGAAGAAUGUAAAUAAUUCUUUAUCUCUCUUUUUUUUCACAUUGUUUAUAGUUAAGUUCUAUCACUGUGCAUCAAGCACUUUACACCAAUGCUGUGGUUUGUUUCCACUUACGAACCAAUGGAGUUGGUCUUCACAGAGCUCUGUAUUAAAGAGUGGUGUAUUUUGAAUAAAUCAGAGGUUUAUUCUCAGCAGCCUUCUGAUCAGAGUCUUCUCAUUCCUGUCCUGCCUUGACAGCGACAUCGCUGUCCUGGAGAUGGCUGAACAACUGCCUGCCCUUGGGAAGAAGUGAAUUCCUUGGUUUGCUGUGCUUGUGUUUCCAGCUUUUGCUUUUCCUUCUAAAGCAUCUUUAGCUCAACCCAGGAGUAUGUUUACCCUUCCAAUUCUCUCCCUGACCCUGCUGGUGGGAGUGAGCAAGCAGCUGUGUGGGGUUUGGCUGCUGGCUGGGAUUAAAUCAUGACAAGAAUACAAAAACUCUCUGGGCAGCCAAGGCCAGCUCAGGGGUACUUUCACUGUAGGGAAAAAAAAAAAAAAAGUUUUCUAAUGUUCUUAACUUCUGUGUUUGAGUUUGUGUCUCUGAAUGGAACUGCCUCUGGUUCUGUCUCCUUCUCUUGGGCUGACAGAAGCUGAAGGUCACUGGUGAAGGCACAGACAUGACACCCUCCAGGUUCACAAGUACACACACAUUUGCUGUCUGGUUGCCUACUCUCUGUCUGAGCCAGUGCUUGCUGAAAACACAUGCACACUCUCAUGAUGGCUGAUGUUGCAGGCACCCCACACCCAUGAGUGCCCCCAGAUAGCUAUAUGUAGAGUAUAAGGGCACCUAAAACCCCCAGUCUGAUACCAAAACCUGGCAGCCACUCCCCCCAGUAAGUGGUAGUCAGUCCAUGCAGUACUCACACACAUGGAUGAAGAGCGAGAUAGUUAAGAAAGGUUUGAAUAAAGCCAGGACAGACUGUGGUGAUCAGGCACAGUGCUCAUUCAUAUACGUGUACUUUAUAUGCAAUCAACCCCUUUCAUAGCCCUUUCUGGGUGAUCCUAUCUUUGUUCCUCUGAUUUCUUCCCCUAAACCUUUCUUCAUCGUUUUAUGCAGGUCUACCAAUUCUCACACCUUUGGUCCAGCACUCGGGAUCUUUGCUUAGCCCAUCUCAACAUCUCCAGGUAAAAUCUUCUCACACUCCAUAUAUCCUCACACAGAUAAUGUGGAAGUGCUCUGCUCCUGUUUCACACGGGAAAAGGAGAAGGAAAGGAAUGCAUACAGAUCACAUGACUGCGCCUGCUUUAUGAGUCCAACGUGAGAACUGACAUGAAAACUUCAAAUGGUAUCAAGUUCAGUCAUAUCCUUCUAUUCAAGGUCAAUGAACUUUUUAUGGCAUAUCCAACAGUUCAUGUCACUGAAAGCACAUAGCUAUGAUGUGAUGUCCCAUGCCACACAAUAUACUGCCUGACAUAUAUGAUCAUUACUGUACUUUAGAAUAAUGAACUUUUACUGUAUUCCUGGAAGCAGAUUACAAAAAUUAUAUGUUUUUAUUUCAGAACUAAAUGACUUAUAUCCACAAUAUCUCCAAGGAAUGGAGAUCUGACAAGAUUUCACUGUAAAUGAGCAAGAACUAUUGCAAAUGCAGAUCAGGAACAGUUUUCCUAAGGAGCUAUAUCAGCUGGAUCCCUUAACUCCUAUUCCUCACUAUUGCUGGAUGUCUUUGAUUCUGUAGUUACUAUAAGCAAAAAGAGUGAGUUUACCAUAAGACUAAUGGUCUCAGGCAGGCCCCAAAUUUACACUGUUUUGAUAGAUUUUCAUAUUUUUAGUAAGAACCAAGAAAGAAACCACUGUUUAGCAGGAGUGUUAAUGAACCAUGCUGAUUCUUCUCCAACUGCUCAGUAGUUGCUUCUCUAGGUCUUCAAGAGCAAUGCCAUAGUGCAUAAAAAACAAAGCAGGACUUCAUUACGUUUUCAUACUGAAGAGAUCUACUUGAUUAUUCCAUCCCAAUCUGCAACUACUGUUUCUGUCCAUGGUCCAUAUAAUGGUGCUUCAGGUCAAGCCACCUUUGGAGGUCACCAGUUCUCUCCAUUGCUGCUACUGCUCCUGCUGUACAGCUGUGAGUAUUCCUAAUGGGGAGGUUUUGCUAAACUUUUUGUCCAUGCCAUUUCACUAAUCUUCUCACUCUUGGCCAAUCAGUUGUCACUAAAUCAGUCAUCCACUAGUGUCCUUGACUCAUUUGACACAGACUCAUUUCAUUUCAAAGGGUGCUUUUACCCAAAUAAAAACUAGGAUUCCCCAUGCAAACACUGUUCACAUUAAAACAAAACUUAGAAAAGUUAUUCUUAAUUUGUUCUCUUUUUUUCAUCAUUCAUCCAGACUAGGUCUUGUUACACAUAAUGACCUGCUGAGUAUUCCUCUGCAACUAUAUUUUAAUCACAGGUGAUGUUUACAUUACUGAUUGAAGAGCUUGCAGAUAUAAGUACAUAUAUUUUGACUUCUACCUUACUGCUAUCUGAAUAAAACAAUUUUUCUAUUAUUCUUAACUUUAAUCUGAGAUAGCUAUGUGUUCCAGAUACACAGAUAGCUUGAGAUGGCAAUAAAACUUUUGCACUACCUGUCUCUUUUACUCUGAUUUUCUACUGCAAUUAGGCAGCAUUAGGUACCACCAGUAUCUGGUAUCUACUGUAACAUAUCCUAAAUAAAUGGUAGGCAGAUUCAGAGAGCUGCAAGACCAAAGCAGGCUUUCAUCCAGCUUCAUAAAUAUCUUGAGGCUUACGUCAUAUCAGAACGGCACAGAAUGUAAAGCUCUGAAUGCUUAGGACAGCUGUCCUCCUUCCCUGCCUCGGUGGCCUUUCUGAUUACACUUGUACCCAAUCCCAUCCACUGGCAGUGUUUCCCAAGUGACACAAAUACUGCAGCAGCACAGGAGACGAAAAAAUCUUGUGCUGAGUGUAGUCGUCAAGAUGUCUGGGUAUUUAUGACAGGACAACAACAGCAACAUCACAACAUCACACUGAGUCUGCCUAGAACCCCAGUGAGCUCCAUAAGUAAUAGGUCAUUGUUCUUUGCCUGACAAAGGGACCCAAAUCAGCUGCCUGCAAUUUCCAAUGCAUAGGAACUCUUGACUGGAAACAUAUAGCUUGAGGCCAGAGUGUCAUAAUCAUCACUGUCUUAUUUAUACCUCAGAGUCUAUUCAGUUGUAUUGGCUACUUUUAUGCAGUGAUACCAUGCAAUUGAUAAGACAUAUGGUUAAAACAUCAGGUGGCUGAAGUACUUGUGCUAUAAAAGGAAAUAGGUGUUAAUUUCGACGUAUCCAAGAAUUAAUCCUUAUUUAUUGCUCAUGCUUUUCUCCAACUCUUAAUUAUGUUUACUGUAUGUAAAAAAAUGUGCCUUUUAAAAUAAAAUUUUAAUUUGCUCAGCAUUACCUUCCACACAGUAGUUUUUUGCUGGCUUCUCAGAUUUAAAAAAACACAGUAUUUUCUUCCUCUGAAGGUGCUCACAUACUAACCCUCAAACUUCACGUUCCCACUGCUAUUGCACUGCAAUUGCUAGACAGGAUAUUGGUUUUGGACUGUAUUCUGUCACUGCAGCCUACUAGCACAAAGAAGUCAGGACUUCUGUGAACAAGGUAGCUAAAAACCAAAUAAUAAAAAUAAGUUCGGGGUUUAGAUGUUUAUGUAGUUGUAAUUUUCCAGAUGUGUGAAAAAAAGAGAAUGAUUCUUUGAAGAUACUGCAAACAGGCAAUGAACAAGGAAAUUGGAACUAUGUGUUGACAUAAUAGUGGACAGUCCCCUGGAGAUGAGAGACAGAUAUAGUUCAUGGUAUACAUUAGCAGUGGAAGAAAUAGUUUGCAGUGAUACCUAACCAGCAGUGUGCCUUUGUGUCUUUCUCCAACUUUUUAUUGUAUUUAGUGUAAAAGCAUUGUGCUGUUUUUUUCUAGAGUUGAAAUUUACCUAUCAUUACCUUCCAUGCAGUAAUUAAUAUUAGAGAAGCAGUAUGAACUUGCCAGCAGUGUGUCUUUCUGGCCAAGAAGGCCAAUAAUAUCCUGGGGUGUAUUAGGAAGAGCUUUUCCAGCAGGUCACAGGAGGUGAUCUUGCCCCUGUGCUCAGCCUGGUGAGGCCAUGUCUGGAGUGCUGAGCCCAGUUCUGGGCUCCUCAGGACAAGAGAACCAUGCAGCCCCUGGAGCAGGUCCAGCAGAGGGCUAUGAAAAUGAUUAAGUGUCUGGAACAUCUUGUACAAGGAAAGGGUGAGGGAGCUGGGCCUGUUCAGCCUCAAGAGGAGAUGACUGAGAUAGUUACAGGUAUCUGAAGGGAGGGUGUCAGGGGAUGUUUCCAGGCUCUGGUCAGUGGUGCCCAGCAAUAGGACAAGAGGCAGAAACUGAUGCACAGAAAGUUCCACAUGAACAUGAGGAUGAACUCCUCCACUGUGCAGGUGACUGAGCACUGGAGGAGAUUGCCCAGAGAGGCUGUGGAGUCUUCUUCACUGGAGAUAUUCAAGAACCAUUUGGGCACAAUCCUGUGCCAUGUGCUUUAGGAUGGCCCUGCUUGAGCAGGGACGUUGGACCACAGGAUCUACUGUGGUCCCUUCCACAUGAGCCUUCUCUGAUUCCGUGAUUCUGCUACCAAAAAAAAAAAAAAAA
RNAcentral lists this long non-coding RNA (10153 nucleotides) under Taeniopygia guttata (zebra finch). Its description in RNAcentral is "lncRNA (ENSTGUG00000022327.1)". Lineage: Eukaryota; Metazoa; Chordata; Aves; Passeriformes; Estrildidae. The record is from RNAcentral.